UCAGAUCUCACUCUCUCCCUGUCUAGCAAAUUUCACAGUAGCAACAAUGUCUGCUCGCUUCAUUAUCCUUCUUUCUCUCACAACUCUCCUCCUCUUCUCUAUACUCUCUCCUUCCCUCUCCAAAACUGAAAACGGCAAGGUAGAAAACGACGACGACGACGAAGAUCUUAGCUUCCUCGAGGAUGCAAGUGAUAAAAACGACGCCGUCCCUCACGACCACCACUACCCCGACUCGGACCAGUUCGAAGGAGACGACAUUGAUAACGACGACUUCGAAAACUACUCUGAUUUUGACGAUUCCGAAUCCGAUCCAUAUAAGGAGCCUGAAAUUGACGACAAGGACGUCGUCGUUUUGAAGGAAAGGAAUUUCAGCGAUUUUAUUGAAAACCAUAAGUUCGUUAUGGUUGAGUUUUACGCGCCGUGGUGCGGCCACUGUCAGGCGCUGGCUCCUGAGUAUGCGGCGGCAGCUACGGAGCUGAAGGGGGAGGACGUGGCGUUGGCGAAAGUAGAUGCUACUGAGGACAGUGAGUUGGCGCAGGAGUAUGAUGUUCAAGGGUUUCCUACUGUUUACUUCUUCGUUGACGGAGUCCACAAGCCUUAUCCUGGGCAGAGGACCAAGGACGCUAUUGUGACUUGGAUCAAGAAGAAAAUAGGACCUGGUAUAUACAACAUUACUACAUUGGAUGAUGCUGAACGCGUUUUGACAUCUGAUAGUAAAGUUGUUCUGGGCUACAUCAAUUCUUUGGUGGGUCCUGAAACUGAAGAGCUCGCUGCUGCAUCAAGACUAGAAGAUGAUGUCAAUUUCUACCAAACUGUAAAUCCUGAUGUGGCAAAGCUUUUCCAUUUUGACCCGAAAGUGAAACGCCCUGCUUUAGUCCUGAUUAAGAACGAGGCCGAG
RNAcentral lists this unclassified non-coding RNA (898 nucleotides) under Hevea brasiliensis (rubber tree). Lineage: Eukaryota; Viridiplantae; Streptophyta; Magnoliopsida; Malpighiales; Euphorbiaceae. The record is from RNAcentral.